ACGUAGGGUGCAGGCGUUAAUCGGAAUUACUGGGCGUAAAGCGUGCGCAGGCGGCUUCCUAAGUCAGAUGUGAAAUCCCCGGGCUUAACCUGGGAACUGCGUUUGAAACUGGGAGACUAGAGUGCGGCAGAGGGGGGUGGAAUUCCACGUGUAGCAGUGAAAUGCGUAGAUAUCGAGCGGAACACCAGUGGCGAAGGCGAGUCUCUGGACAAUUCCUGACGCUGAGGCACGAAAGCCAGGGGAGCAAACGGGA
This 253-nucleotide ribosomal RNA is filed under the name uncultured prokaryote. Its description in RNAcentral is "partial 16S ribosomal RNA". It matches the Rfam family "Bacterial small subunit ribosomal RNA", at positions 525 to 777 of the family's 1533-position model. The record is from RNAcentral.